UAAUAAGAAGAAAAGACCCGAUGGAGCUGUAAUUUAUUAAUUUAUUCUACCAUUUUAAAUUCAUAAGAACAUAAAAUAUAAAAUUUAAAUUAAUAAUUUUGGUUCACAGAACAACAAAUCCUCCGAAAGAUAUUAACCUAGCUACAAGUCAAAGCCUACCAUCAUUAACUGACCCAAAACCCACCCAAGUUACCCUAGGGAUAACAGCCCAAUCCUAUUUUAGAGUUUGUAUUGACAGUAGGGUUUAUGACCUUGAUGCUGGAUCAGGACGUCCUAAUGGGGCAGCCACUAUUAAGUGUUCGUUUGUUCAACGAUUGAAGUCCUACAUGAUCGGAGUUCAGACUGGAGUAAUCCAUGUCAGUUUCUAGCUAUUA
Molecule: non-coding RNA, 374 nt
Filed under: Cavia porcellus (domestic guinea pig)
Lineage: Eukaryota; Metazoa; Chordata; Mammalia; Rodentia; Caviidae
Description: Bacterial large subunit ribosomal RNA
Rfam family: Bacterial large subunit ribosomal RNA
Source: Rfam by way of RNAcentral